Acanthosepion pharaonis is the source of this 113-nucleotide non-coding RNA. Lineage: Eukaryota; Metazoa; Mollusca; Cephalopoda; Sepiida; Sepiidae. The record is from the annotation of a GenBank genome assembly.
UGCGGCUAUAUAAUGCUGCAACACCGAUUCUCGUUUGAUCACCGAAGUUAAGCAACGUUGAGUUUAGCCAAUACUCAGAUAGGUGUCUGCUGGGCAAUACCAGGCGCUGUAUG